RNAcentral lists this ribosomal RNA (452 nucleotides) under uncultured organism. Its description in RNAcentral is "partial 16S ribosomal RNA". It matches the Rfam family "Bacterial small subunit ribosomal RNA", at positions 330 to 798 of the family's 1533-position model. The record is from RNAcentral.
CGUACACUCCUACGGGAGGCAGCAGUGGGGAAUAUUGGACAAUGGGCGCAAGCCUGAUCCAGCCAUGCCGCGUGAGUGAUGAAGGCCCUAGGGUUGUAAAGCUCUUUCACCGGUGAAGAUAAUGACGGUAACCGGAGAAGAAGCCCCGGCUAACUUCGUGCCAGCAGCCGCGGUAAUACGAAGGGGGCUAGCGUUGUUCGGAUUUACUGGGCGUAAAGCGCACGUAGGCGGACUAUUAAGUCAGGGGUGAAAUCCCGGGGCUCAACCCCGGAACUGCCUUUGAUACUGGUAGUCUUGAGUUCGAGAGAGGUGAGUGGAAUUCCGAGUGUAGAGGUGAAAUUCGUAGAUAUUCGGAGGAACACCAGUGGCGAAGGCGGCUCACUGGCUCGAUACUGACGCUGAGGUGCGAAAGCGUGGGGAGCAAACAGGAUUAGAAACCCGUGUAGUCCCAU